UAUCCCAGGGCCAGGCUGCUCCCUGAGGUUAGUGCCCUUUGAGCAGAGGCUGCUGGCGCAUGCGUGUGCGUGUCUGUGUGUCUGUCCAGGUGAGGGAGCACACGUCGCAUUUGGAGGCAGAGCUGGAAAAGCACAUGGCAGCUGCCAGCGCCGAGUGCCAGAACUACGCCAAGGAGGUGGCGGGGGUGAGUCUGCCCCCCAAGGAGUGCAGCCCCUGCCCAGCAGAGCUGCGGUCCUCCCUGAGCUGCUUCUCCUCAGCCCUGUGGGAGCAGCUCUCGUUGACAUAAGCCUUGAAGUCUGAGUCCUCAAGCGUUUGCCCGAAGCCUCGCAGGCCCCUCAUUGGGCUGUCAGGCCUGAGGUGUGUCUCAGGGCAGGUUUCAAAAAGGCAGCCUCCCAGCCAGGACAGGGGCAGAGCCAGGCAGCCCUGCCCCGAGGGAGGCGUUUGACAUUCUAGGUUAUCCCUCCGCAAGGGGAUUCUCUGCCUGGCUUGCUGAUGUCAUAUCUGGUGGGGAGUGGAUUUAGAUCUGAUACUUUUUCUGCUCUUCAGAAGCAGAAGCACAAGCCCAGUAUACCAAUUCUGGUUUAAUCUCAAACUUUUGGGCCAGGCACAGCGGCUCAUGCCUGUAAUCCCAGCACUUUGAAAGGCUGAAGUGGAUUGCUCAAGGCCAGAAAUUUGAGACCGGCCCAGGCAACAUAGCAAGACCCCAUCUCUACCAAAAAAAAAAAAAAAAAAAAAAAGCUAGGCACACUGGUGGGCACCUCCAUUCCCAGCUGCUUAGGAGGCUGAUGCAGGAGGAUUGCCUGAGCCCAAGAGUUCAAGACCAGCAUGGACGACAGAUUGAGACCAUCUCUGAAAAAAAAAAUCAUCUCAAACUUUUGGCCCUUUUUUGCCGGAAGUAAUCAGUAAACAUUUGUGAAGGCCUGAAAGAGGUAUGCAGUGAACACCAUUCUUCCUAAGUCCUCAAAAAAGAAAUCAUAGCUGUAGGAAGCCUGGCGAGCCCUGUGCCGGCCCAGUGCUGUCACCCUCCUCAGGGUUUUGGUUAAGUGGAUGUAUUAGGUUUUAUGUUUCGGCGCUAACUCACGGGGACUGGUUUUCUCCUUUUCUCUCCUUUUUUCUCCAUCACCUGCCUCUGUUUUCUCCCCAAGCUGAGGCAACUUCUCCUAGAAUCUCAAUCUCAGCUCGAUGCCGCCAAGAGCGAAGCCCAGAAACAGAGCGAUGAGCUUGCCCUGGUCAGGCAGCAAUUGAGUGAAAUGAAGAGCCACGUAGAGGAUGGUGACAUAGCUGGGGCCCCAGCUUCCUCCCCAGAGGCCCCCCAAGCCGAGCAGGCCCCCGUUCAGCUGAGGACGCAGCUGGAGCGGACAGAAGCCAUCCUGGAGGAUGAGCAGACACAGCGGCAGAAGCUCACGGCUGAGUUUGAGGAGGCUCAGACCUCGGCAUGUCGGUUACAAGAAGAAUUGGAGAAGCUCCGCACAGCCGGCCCCCUGGAGUCUUCAGAGACAGAGGAGGCCUCACAGCUGAAGGAGAGACUAGAAAAAGAGAAGAAGUUAACAAGUGACCUGGGGCGCGCCGCCACAAAACUGCAGGAACUUCUGAAGACAACCCAGGAGCAGCUGGCAAGGGAGAAGGACACAGUGAAGAAGCUGCAGGAACAGCUGGAAAAGACAGAGGACGGCAGCAGCUCAAAGGAGGGCACCUCUGUCUGAGUCUCCUCUGUGGAAAAAGAAGUUACUGUUCAACUUACCAAAAUGCCUUACACAUUCCUUACAAAUAAACCAAGCAACCUACACAGCGUUAUCCAGGCCCAACUUCCGGUAGCUCCGAGAGAAGCCAUGAGAGACAAGAGUCUCCUAGAGCCACAGAGGUAGACCUUCCAGAGCCCCAGUUUGUAAAUGAACCUGUGUCACAUUUGAUAAACACUAUCCUGGGCGCAGCCCCGGGCCACCGCCGAGUGACGCCAAAGCCCUGGUUGACUCUGACAGCCCCGUGGGUGUGUGGGAGGCCGGGCGCUCUGGGGUCUGUCUGUCAGUGCAAUCGUUUCGUGUUUUUUCAGUGGGGCGGGGCGGGAAGCGGGUGGGACCGGGCAGCCAGUUCUUGAAGGCUGUGGGGCCGACUGGAGGCCACAGCCCCUCACCCCUAGAUAUUGCCAACCAGAACUGACGUGCGACCUCCUGGGUGUUGAUGCCAUUAAAACCAACGUUGGUGCCCGGUG
Molecule: small RNA, 2210 nt
Filed under: Pongo abelii (Sumatran orangutan)
Lineage: Eukaryota; Metazoa; Chordata; Mammalia; Primates; Hominidae
Description: retained intron
Source: RNAcentral